AAUAAAGUUCUAAUUCAUGUACACAUCGCCCGUCGCUCUAAUUUUAUAAUUAGAUAAGUCGUAACAAAGUAGAAGUUCCGGAAGGAGUGUCUAGUUAAGUAGAGCUUGAAAGUUAAGCAGUUCAUUUACAUUGAAACGAUCUUGUUCAAACAAGUGUUUAUAAUUAGUUUAAAAAUUUUUUAUUUAAGUUUGUAUAAUUUUAGUUUUAAAUAAAAUUUAUUUAAUUAAAAAAAACUGAGGGGGAACAGUGAAAUAUAAUUAAAUAAAUUUUAUUUAAAAAUAAGAAACGUACUUUUUGUAUCAUAGUUAGUUUAUUUUUUAAUAAAUAUUUUUUCUCGAAUAUUAAAGAUUAGAAUUUAAUUAAAAUAAUUAUAUAAAAAAUUAUAAAAAAUUAAUUUCAGCAUUGAAAAGGUUUUCGGUUUAAUAAAUUUCUAGUUAUUUAAAAAUUUGUUUGGCGUAUAUUUAUUAAAAAUAUAAAAAUUUAUGUAAAUAAUUUAAGGGAUAAGCUUUAAAUUUAUUAUUUUAUAAUUUUUUAUGAUAUAAAAUUUAAAAUGAAGCUUGAAAAAAGCUUUAAGUUAGUUAUAUUUUAUAAAUUUAUUAAAAAAAUUUGUUUAAAAGAUUUAAAAUGUUUAAAUAGUAAAUUUUAACUAAAAAUUUUAUUUUUAAUGGUUAAAUUAUUAAAAUUAUAAAUUUUUAGUUUAGUAAAAAUAUUAAUUUUAUGAACUUUACAUAAUUUAUAGGAUUGUUUAACAAAAACAUUUCUUUUUGUUUAUUUAAAAAGUAUAGUCUGCCCACUGAAAAAUUGAAGGGCCGCGGUAUUUUGACCGUGCUAAGGUAGCAUAAUCAUUAGUUUCUUAAUUAGAAAAUGGAAUGAAUGGCUUGACCUUUAAAUUUUUUAUUAAGUUAAUAAUUUUGAAUUUUAUUUUAAAGUGAAAAUUCUUUAUUAAAUUUAAAAGACGAUAAGACCCUAUAGAGCUUGAUUAAUUAAGUUAAAAAAAUUUUGGGGGAAAAUUUUUUUAACUUAAUUAAUUUGAUUGGGGCAAUCUUAGAAUAAAAGAAACUUCUUAUAAUAAAACUUGAAUUUUAAACAUAAAAAGUUACCUUAGGGAUAACAGCGUAAUAAUUUUUAAGAGUCCUAAUCGAUAAAAUUGUUUGCGACCUCGAUGUUGAAUUAAAAAAUCUUUUAGGGGCAGAAUUUUAAUUAGACAGUCUGUUCGACUAAUAAAUUUUUACAUGAUUUGAGUUCAAACCGGUGUGAGCCAGGUUGGUUUCUAUCUUUAAAUAAUAAGUUUUCUUUUUAGUACGCAAGGAUCGUUAGAUUUUAUUUUCUG
This 1331-nucleotide ribosomal RNA is filed under the name Homidia socia. RNAcentral's name for it is "16S ribosomal RNA". The stretch from base 950 to 1281 matches the Rfam family "Archaeal large subunit ribosomal RNA", at positions 2150 to 2716 of the family's 2987-position model. The record is from RNAcentral. Lineage: Eukaryota; Metazoa; Arthropoda; Collembola; Entomobryomorpha; Entomobryidae.